This is a long non-coding RNA of Acanthaster planci (crown-of-thorns starfish), 654 nucleotides long. RefSeq lists it as uncharacterized. Lineage: Eukaryota; Metazoa; Echinodermata; Asteroidea; Valvatida; Acanthasteridae. The record is from RefSeq and is a predicted model, not a curated record.
GCAGCAUGGCGCGUGGUUCAAAAGGAAAAAUUUACGCUGACGGACUUUCGAGUGGUUUCUUGGCUAUUUGAGUAUUCUUCGAGCGGAAUUUGGCAGAUGACUGAUUACAAGUCCAGGUUGAAGCCAUUCUUCAUCACUCAGGUCAUGGACCUGACAUCAAGUGGACAUCAAGACUUUCCCACCAUGUAUCCAUGAAAUAUUGGUUGGUGAGACACACUUCCUUCAUAGAUGUCUACAGAAGGGCUACUUUCUCCACUUUGAACAAGAGUUCUUAGACUUCCCAACAAGGUUGGUGAGAGACAACAUCUUCUUUAAUGCCUGCCUAAGAGAUGGCCUGUCAACUUUGAACAUGAGUUCUUGGGCUUCAAUAAAGAACUCCAAGAGUGCCUAGCACAGCCAAAGCAGUCUACCCUCAUUAUGCUACCAUCAACGGAGGUCCAGGAACCAGAAGAGAUUGUGAAGGAUGAGACAAGAUGGACCUUUCGGCAUCUGAGAUACUGAUUGUCAGAAUGAAAGAUUUCCAAAUUGAUACGAAUAAAGUUAAAUGAAAUUGACUUAUAUGGGCUCUUUGAAAUCUUUUAAUUACAGUUUUUGAUGAGUUCUUGCACUUGAUGAUCAACUUAUUUGACAGAGUAAAAUGUGAAUGCAAAACCU